CUCCCAUACUAGUUCUACUACGGCAUAAACACAGAACUGUUUCCAUCACCUUUAUGUAAACUAAUGGACAGCGACUCCAUUCUUAUUCUAGGAAAGACUGACUCAUAACAACUGAACGAACUGAAGAACGUUAGGUAGAAUAGCUGCCGGAAAUUCGCCAGUGAGUGAUUGUCACGUGGAAAAAACCAGACACUAACCACGUGACAAUCAUAAUGUGCGAGAACUUCACCGGAUGCACAGUAAAAGAAACAUAUUUUACGUAGGCUAAACGAAAUAAAUUAUAACUUCAUAUCUUAUCUCUAAAAAAAAUGAGUUGUAAGAACAAGAUAUAAUACUCAAAAUGAAAUAUGGACUUUAAACGAAUGGCAUCUGAAAAACACUGCAUUAUACUUCGGAUAGAAUAGAUGAUAUUCGUAUGCCCAUUCGAAGUCGUCAAACUACAAGUUCGCUUAUCAUGGUAUAUAUAUUCGAUACUACUAUAGGAGUACUAGAGGUAACUUCACUACUGAAGCUGCAGUGGAACGAUCACGUGAUGAUUUAGUUGCCUAGGUGGAGUUUGAACUCAAGAAUGAUAUUAUCCCCCUUUUUUUCUUUUCCAAUAAUUAAUUUUCCUUCUCGAUCUUUCCAGUGACGGUAUUAUAGUGUGAACGGUUCUUAAGGUAAAGUAUAAG
Long non-coding RNA from Centruroides sculpturatus (bark scorpion), 671 nucleotides. RefSeq lists it as uncharacterized. NCBI's taxonomy places the organism in Eukaryota, Metazoa, Arthropoda, Arachnida, Scorpiones, Buthidae. The record is from RefSeq and is a predicted model, not a curated record. The transcript has 5 exons.